Long non-coding RNA from Olea europaea var. sylvestris, 386 nucleotides. RefSeq lists it as uncharacterized. Lineage: Eukaryota; Viridiplantae; Streptophyta; Magnoliopsida; Lamiales; Oleaceae. The record is from RefSeq and is a predicted model, not a curated record. The transcript has 2 exons.
UUUGCAGUUAGCCAAGUGGUAGUCGUGCGGUACAAAGUAAACCAAUAUCCCACCUUGCGUGGUGUGGUCGAGAUGGCUAUUCCUAUGGCUGCACACUGGUCUGAUAAGUACAACAAUUUGGUCGAAGACAUGGCUGCAAAAGGCUACACCAUUUUCAGUUAUCUUCCAUUAGUUCCUGUAGAGGAAAUGGCCAAGGCAUAGAAGCAGUUAGAGGCAUCCGCUGGUAAGAAGGAAGAUUCAAGCAGCUCAAGUGAAGGUGAUUCCAACUAGGAAGAAUAGAGGGCAGCAAUGAGUACGAGAUAUUUGGUUCCUAUUUGUUGCAAGAGCGAAUUCCUUUUCGAAUAUGGUGAAUGUGAAGGGAUAAGCGAAGCUAUACUUUCUGUCAA